RNAcentral lists this transfer RNA (68 nucleotides) under Octopus bimaculatus (Verill's two-spot octopus). RNAcentral describes it as "tRNA-Trp". The record is from RNAcentral. Lineage: Eukaryota; Metazoa; Mollusca; Cephalopoda; Octopoda; Octopodidae.
AGAGUUUUAAGUUAAAUAAAACUAUAAGUUUUCAAGACUUAUAAUAAAUAAAUGUUGUUUAAAUUCUG